UUCAGGGGGUUGGGUGGGGCCCAAGCUGCUCCCACCCAGGGAGACUUUCCCAAUUAGCUCACAAUGAAUUUUUUUUUAUUAUUCUGAAGUUCUUUGGCAUUUAUAACAGUGAAGUGUCUAUGCCAUUUGCUCAAAUAGGGCUUUAAAUUCUCAUAUAAUAAUUGCUUGUGUGAAUCCUUUAUUGCCCCAACUAAAUCAUAAAUUCCAAUAAAAUGAACACUCAAGAAAUAAAUAUUUCCCUACUAUGUUUAGUGGGGUAUUCAUUAAAUUCAUUAAAUUUACUAAACAAAGAAAUCAGAAUUGCUAGGAUAACCUGAAUCCUCCCACCCAAAUAUUCCCUUUAGAUAACUUUGUCAACCUGCACUGCCACUGAGCUUACAGACAGAAAAGUGGGUAACCCGCACGUGUUGCAGUCAGAUUACUUAACAACUGGAUGAAGAUGGUAUGCUGAUCAGUGAGGGUGAUCUGCUAAAACUCUUUGAAAGAGAAUCUACAAUUUUCAAAGAAGAAUCUUCCUUCUAAAUUGCACUGUGUAUCCACUGAGCAGCUCAGCACCCCGGCCUCUGAUCCCCAUUUGGGGACUGACCUUUUCCCAUCAGGGAAUACAGAUACCUCACUCCACAUUAACACCACGUGAACUCCUUAGGCACAUCAGCUCACCAAUGGCAGAGACCACGCAUGUCCUGUCCACACAUGUACCCCGAAAGGCACAGCACAGUUCCCGGAACAGGGUACAGGCACAGCAUCUUUGUCGAGCAAAUGGACGAACAUAGCCCUCCAUGAAGACUUCCCUAGGCUAUACCCCUAUCCCUGAGCUAAUGUCCAAUAAAGACAAAAGAAUU
Molecule: long non-coding RNA, 842 nt
Organism: Hyaena hyaena (striped hyena)
Lineage: Eukaryota; Metazoa; Chordata; Mammalia; Carnivora; Hyaenidae
Exons: 3
Source: RefSeq, a predicted model, not a curated record